RNAcentral lists this transfer RNA (77 nucleotides) under Oscillospiraceae bacterium. Its description in RNAcentral is "tRNA-Arg". It matches the Rfam family "tRNA". From Rfam's summary of the family: Transfer RNA (tRNA) molecules are approximately 80 nucleotides in length. Their secondary structure includes four short double-helical elements and three loops (D, anti-codon, and T loops). The record is from RNAcentral. Lineage: Bacteria; Bacillati; Bacillota; Clostridia; Eubacteriales; Oscillospiraceae.
GCGCCCGUAGCUCAGCUGGAUAGAGUGUUUGGCUACGAACCAAAAGGUCGGGGGUUCGAAUCCCUUCGGGCGUGCCA